This 229-nucleotide ribosomal RNA is filed under the name uncultured Lactobacillus sp. RNAcentral describes it as "partial 16S ribosomal RNA". It matches the Rfam family "Bacterial small subunit ribosomal RNA", at positions 134 to 354 of the family's 1533-position model. The record is from RNAcentral. Lineage: Bacteria; Bacillati; Bacillota; Bacilli; Lactobacillales; Lactobacillaceae.
UAGUCUGGGAUACCACUUGGAAACAGGUGCUAAUACCGGAUAAGAAAGCGGAUCGCAUGAUCAGCUUUUAAAAGGCGGCGUAAGCUGUCGCUAUGGGAUGGCCCCGCGGUGCACUAGCUAGUUGGUAAGGUAAAGGCUUACCAAGGCGAUGAUGCAUAGCCGAGUUGAGAGACUGAUCGGCCACAUUGGGACUGAGACACGGCCCAAACUCCUACGGGAGGCAGCAGGU